RNAcentral lists this ribosomal RNA (352 nucleotides) under Barbronia arcana. RNAcentral's name for it is "partial 12S ribosomal RNA". It matches the Rfam family "Bacterial small subunit ribosomal RNA", at positions 874 to 1382 of the family's 1533-position model. Lineage: Eukaryota; Metazoa; Annelida; Clitellata; Hirudinida; Salifidae. The record is from RNAcentral.
ACCCUAUUAUUUCUAACCAAUUAAAAGAUUGGGGAUUACGAGCAAUAGCUUAAAAACCUAAGAUUUUGGCGGUGUCUUAUUCAAUCAGGGGGACCUGUAUUAUAAUUCGACAGUCCACGUAUAAAACCUACCCUCUCUAGAAUAUCAGCCUGUGUACUGCCGUCUAAUAGGCACCUAAAGCAUCCUAUAGGAAUUAAUACAAACAUACGUCAGGUCAAAGUGCAGCUUACUGAGAAGGAAAAUAUGGGUCACAGUCUAUAAUAUAGUAACUAAUAAAUUAAUUGAUAGUUUAUAAUUUAGGACUUGAUAGUAAAUUUAUCAAAAAGAUAUAUUGAAUAUGAACCUAAGACAA